Molecule: ribosomal RNA, 253 nt
Filed under: uncultured bacterium
Lineage: Bacteria
Description: partial 16S ribosomal RNA
Rfam family: Bacterial small subunit ribosomal RNA
Source: RNAcentral
UACGUAGGGGGCAAGCGUUGUCCGGAAUCAUUGGGCGUAAAGAGCGUGUAGGCGGCUCGAUAAGUCGGCUGUGAAAGUCCAGGGCUCAACCCUGGAAAGCCGGCCGAUACUGUCGGACUAGAGUCCGGAAGAGGCAAGUGGAAUUCCCGGUGUAGCGGUGAAAUGCGCAGAUAUCAGGAGGAACACCGAUGGCGAAGGCAGGUCUCUGGGCCAUAACUGACGCUGAGAAGCGAAAGCAUGGGGAGCGAACAGG